ACAUUUCCUACUAAAACAUCAAGUUUCCAAAAUAGUAUAUACUUUAAAUAGCCUUGGAAUGUUAUAUUAUAUUAGAAGUAUUGAUCUCUAGUAUGAUGGUAACUUUGGCAAGAUCAAUUAUGGGGUGCAUUUUCUUGAUGUUGCUUCUAAGUGCAGGAAGUGAGACACGACCUUUGAAUCCAACAAUGGUAAGCAACAUGUUAAGAAGAUCGAUUGGAACACCUAUACGACCAAUUACAGAAGCAAGUGAAGUUUAUGGCAAUAAGAGAUUAAGUCCAGGAGGACCUGAUGCUCAUCAUCAUUAAUUACAAGUCUCAAAAGCUUUAGGUAUAUAACUGUUCCUAUAUGUUAUUUGUCUUUUUUUGAAGGUUGAGGCA
RNAcentral lists this long non-coding RNA (377 nucleotides) under Lupinus angustifolius (narrow-leaved blue lupine). RNAcentral describes it as "long non-coding RNA (LANG_LNC000980)". Lineage: Eukaryota; Viridiplantae; Streptophyta; Magnoliopsida; Fabales; Fabaceae. The record is from RNAcentral.